RNAcentral lists this ribosomal RNA (656 nucleotides) under Drosophila tenebrosa. RNAcentral describes it as "eukaryotic LSU rRNA". It matches the Rfam family "Eukaryotic large subunit ribosomal RNA", at positions 128 to 657 of the family's 3401-position model. Lineage: Eukaryota; Metazoa; Arthropoda; Insecta; Diptera; Drosophilidae. The record is from RNAcentral.
UAUGGCAAAUGUGAGAUGCAGUGUAUGGAACAUCAAUAUUCUAGUAUGAGAAAUUAACGAUUUAAGUCCUUCUUAAAUGAGGCCAUUUACCCAUAGAGGGUGCCAGGCCCGUAUAACGUUAAUGAUUAUUAGAUGGUGUUUCCAAAGAGUCGUGUUGCUUGAUAGUGCAGCACUAAGUGGGUGGUAAACUCCAUCUAAAACUAAAUAUAACCAUGAGACCGAUAGUAAACAAGUACCGUGAGGGAAAGUUGAAAAGAACUCUGAAUAGAGAGUUAAAUAGUACGUGAAACUGCUUAGAGGUUAAGCCCGAUGAACCUGAAUAUCCGUUAUGGAAAAUUCAUCAUUAGAGUUGUAAUAUUUAAACAAUAUUAUAAUAAUAGUGUGCAUUUUUUCCAUAUAAGGACAUUGUAAUCUAUUAGUAUCAUAAAUUUAUCAAAAAAUUUAAGAAAAUAGUUUAUUUAAAUUAGAAUGCUUGCAUUUUAACACAAAAUAAAUUUCAUAAAUUUGAUAAAGUGCUGAUAGAUUUAUAUGAAUACAGUGCGUUAAUUUUUCGGAAUUAUAUAAUGGCAUGAUUAUCAUUGAUUUUUAUGUUUAUUAUAUGCACUUGUAUGAUUAACAAUGCGAAAGAUUCAGGAUACCUUCGGGACCCGUCUUGA